Molecule: ribosomal RNA, 497 nt
Filed under: uncultured bacterium
Lineage: Bacteria
Description: partial 16S ribosomal RNA
Rfam family: Bacterial small subunit ribosomal RNA
Source: RNAcentral
GAUGAACGCUGGCGGCGUGCCUAAUACAUGCAAGUCGAGCGAACAGAUGAGGAGCUUGCUCCUCUGACGUUAGCGGCGGACGGGUGAGUAACACGUGGAUAACCUACCUAUAAGACUGGGAUAACUUCGGGAAACCGGAGCUAAUACCGGAUAAUAUAUUGAACCGCAUGGUUCAAUAGUGAAAGACGGUUUUGCUGUCACUUAUAGAUGGAUCCGCGCCGCAUUAGCUAGUUGGUAAGGUAACGGCUUACCAAGGCAACGAUGCGUAGCCGACCUGAGGGGGUGAUCGGCCACACUGGAACUGAGACACGGUCCAAACUCCUACGGGAGGCAGCAGUAGGGAAUCUUCCGCAAUGGGCGAAAGCCUGACGGAGCAACGCCGCGUGAGUGAUGAAGGUCUUCGGAUCGUAAAACUCUGUUAUUAGGGAAGAACAAAUGUGUAAGUAACUAUGCACGUCUUGACGGUACCUAAUCAGAAAGCCACGGCUAACUACGUG